This 69-nucleotide transfer RNA is filed under the name Microphis boaja (Asian river pipefish). Its description in RNAcentral is "tRNA-Pro". It matches the Rfam family "tRNA". Rfam says of the family: Transfer RNA (tRNA) molecules are approximately 80 nucleotides in length. Their secondary structure includes four short double-helical elements and three loops (D, anti-codon, and T loops). Lineage: Eukaryota; Metazoa; Chordata; Actinopteri; Syngnathiformes; Syngnathidae. The record is from RNAcentral.
CAGAAUAUAGUUUAAAUAGAAUUUUAGCUUUGGGAGCUAAAGGUAGGCGUGGAAGUCGCUUUUUUCUGA